Non-coding RNA from Acanthosepion pharaonis, 100 nucleotides. The record is from the annotation of a GenBank genome assembly. NCBI's taxonomy places the organism in Eukaryota, Metazoa, Mollusca, Cephalopoda, Sepiida, Sepiidae.
CAUUGAAACGCUGGUUUCCAUACGAUUAUCAAAGUUAAGCAACGUCGAGCCUAAUCAUUACCUAGAUGGGUGACUGCUUGGGAAUACUAGGUGCUGUAAG